This 320-nucleotide ribosomal RNA is filed under the name uncultured Luteolibacter sp. Its description in RNAcentral is "bacterial SSU rRNA". It matches the Rfam family "Bacterial small subunit ribosomal RNA", at positions 1 to 324 of the family's 1533-position model. Lineage: Bacteria; Pseudomonadati; Verrucomicrobiota; Verrucomicrobiia; Verrucomicrobiales; Verrucomicrobiaceae. The record is from RNAcentral.
UGACGAGUUUGAUCCUGGCUCAGAACGAACGCUGGCGGCGUGUUUAAGACAUGCAAGUCGCACGGGAUUGAAUGAGUAGUAAUACGAGUUCAGUCUAGUGGCGCACGGGUGAGUAACAUGUGAAUUACAUGCCCUUCAGUGGGGAAUAGCCCAGGGAAACUUGGAUUAAUACCCCAUGGUAUCGCAAGAUUAAAGGUGGCCGCAAGGCUGUCGCUGAAGGAUUGGUUCGCACCCUAUCAGCUUGUUGGUGAGGUAAUGGCUCACCAAGGCUACGACGGGUACCUGGUCUGAGAGGACGAUCAGGCACACUGGAACUGAGA